AGAGUUUGAUCCUGGCUCAGAACGAACGCUGGCGGCGGGGUUUAGGCAUGCAAGUCGAGCGAGAAAGUCUUCGGACGAGUAAAGCGGCGUAAGGGUGAGUAAUAGGUAGUCAACGUACCUUCCAGACACGAAUAAUUCCCCGAAAGGGGUUGUAAUGCGUGAUAAGACCACGGUUCCUCCGGGAACAGAGGUCAAAGGUUGGGGAUCCUUCGGGACCCAGCGCUGGUGGAGCGGACGACCUCCGAUUAGCUAGAUGGCGGGGUAACGGCCCACCAUGGCGAUGAUCGGUAGCCGGCCUGAGAGGGUGUACGGCCACACUGGGACUGAGACACUGCCCAGACUCCUACGGGAGGCUGCAGUCGCGAAUCAUUCACAAUGGACGCAAGUCUGAUGAUGCCACGCCGCGUGCGGGAUGAAGGCCCUUUGGGUUGUAAACCGCUGUCAAGGGAGGGGAAACACUUGGUGUUAACAGCACCAAGCUUGACUGCUCCCUAAAGGAAGCCCCGGCAAAACAUGUGCCAGCAGCCGCGGUAAUACAUGUGGGGCAAGCGUUGUUCGGAAUUACUGGGCAUAAAGGGUGCGUAGGCGGUUUGUUAAGUCACUGGUGAAAGUUUGCGGCCCAACCGUAAAAUUGCCUGUGAUACUGGCGAACUUGAGUGCGUGAGGGGUAGGGGGAACGAGCAGUGUAGCGGUGAAAUGCGUAGAUAUUGCUCGGAAGGCCGGAGCCGAAGGGGCCCUACUGGUACGUAACUGACGCUGAGGCACGAAAGCGUGGGGAGCAAACAGGAUUAGAUACCCUGGUAGUCG
Molecule: ribosomal RNA, 807 nt
Filed under: uncultured bacterium
Lineage: Bacteria
Description: bacterial SSU rRNA
Rfam family: Bacterial small subunit ribosomal RNA
Source: RNAcentral